This 345-nucleotide unclassified non-coding RNA is filed under the name soil metagenome. RNAcentral's name for it is "partial contains 5.8S ribosomal RNA, internal transcribed spacer 2, and large subunit ribosomal RNA". The stretch from base 1 to 120 matches the Rfam family "5.8S ribosomal RNA", at positions 35 to 154 of the family's 154-position model. The record is from RNAcentral.
GAUGAAGAACGCAGCGAAAUGCGAUACGUAAUGUGAAUUGCAGAAUUCAGUGAAUCAUCGAGUCUUUGAACGCACAUUGCGCCCCCUGGUAUUCCGGGGGGCAUGCCUGUCCGAGCGUCAUUGCUGCCCUCAAGCACGGCUUGUGUGUUGGGCCUCCGUCCUCCUCCCGGGGGACGGGCCCGAAAGGCAGCGGCGGCACCGCGUCCGGUCCUCGAGCGUAUGGGGCUUCGUCACCCGCUCUUGUAGGCCCGGCCGGCGCUUGCCGACACAUCAAUCUUUUUUCCAGGUUGACAUCGGAUCAGGUAGGGAUACCCGCUGAACUUAAGCAUAUCAAUAAGCGGAGGA